RNAcentral lists this ribosomal RNA (408 nucleotides) under uncultured bacterium. Its description in RNAcentral is "partial 16S ribosomal RNA". It matches the Rfam family "Bacterial small subunit ribosomal RNA", at positions 28 to 526 of the family's 1533-position model. The record is from RNAcentral.
GACGAACGCUGGCGGCGUGCUUAACACAUGCAAGUCGAACGAAGUGGCGAACGGGUGAGUAACGCGUAAUCAACCUGCCCUUCAGAGGGGGACAACAGUUGGAAACGACUGCUCAUACCGCAUACUGAAGGCGGGGAUUGCGUCUGAUUAGCUAGUUGGAGGGGUAACGGGCAACCAAGGCGAUGAUCAGUAGCCGGGCUGAGAGGGGGAACGGCCACAUUGGGACUGAGACACGGCCCAGACGCCUACGGGAGGCAGCAGUGGGGAAUCUUCCGAAAUGGACGAAAGGCUGACGGAGCAACGCCGGGUGAGUGAUGACGGCCUUCGGGUUGGAAAGCUCUGUUAAUCGGGACGCGGUACCGAAAUAGAAAGCCACGGCUAACUACGUGCCAGCCGCCGCGGUAAUUC